Molecule: long non-coding RNA, 2089 nt
Organism: Strigops habroptila (Kakapo)
Lineage: Eukaryota; Metazoa; Chordata; Aves; Psittaciformes; Psittacidae
Source: Ensembl
AUGUUGCAUGGAGACAGCGGGGAGGGAAAGCGCAUCUGGAGCUGGGAAACAGUUUUGUGCAGGAAACAACCGUGUGUAGUAAAUGACACCCUUCUAUGCCUCUUGCUUCUCAGCACAGUCUGACCUCUUUCACUAGAGCGGCCAGUUCUUUGCCUCCACUAAGAAGCUCCACAAAGUGCAAUUUCAUGCCAUGGAUUCUCAUUGUUCAUUAUUUGAUGGAUAAGACACAGUCAUAGGUGUUUUGUGAGCCAGUUUGAAGAAGGAACUGUAAACCCCUGACUAUCUACAUAUUUUGGUUUGUCUUAAAUACAAGAGCUUCUGAAGCAAGAGACAUGAGGUGGAUUUGUUGGAGGAAUGGACAACUGAGUAGACAAGAACUAAUACAUACUCAGGCUGUAUCACCAUAGGCAGCAGCAUUGUUCCAGUGAUGAACUUCUCUGAAGAAUUAAGAGUUCCAUUUGAGGCUCAUUCCCGUCAUUUUUUAUUCUGGUCACAGUAAAUGGCCUUGAGAUUUGGGGGGAAAAAAAAAUCUAAAAAUUCUGGACCAUUUUUUUACCCUGUGUAAAAUUCUUUUAAAAUUCUUUUCUUUCACGAGCUGAUUUAGUGCUUUAAUUGGUUGUUGAGUAAUGUAGAAAACAUAAAAUUUCAUUCUAUAUCUUAUACCUUACAACCUAUGCCUCUUUCAGUUCAAACAAGACAAACCAAAAUUAGCUGAGAACAAAGAGGAAGACUUUUUUCUUGUUAUCUUUUAAAAAUCUCUUGUGUUGGUAAGAAGGUAUCGUAAGUAUAGAUGAGCUACACACAAACCCACCUAAUUUAAACAGAGUGUUUUUAUAAGUUGAACAAAUAAUAACAAAAGGUAUUUCAAAUUAUGAGAUAAUUAAAUGUUCAGAUUUUGUCUUUACUCUUCCAUUCAGUUUUGCUUUAUUUUAGGAUUAACAAACUGCGAUGCCUAAAAUUACUCUUGAAGUACCGAAUCAGUAUUUGUGUACCUCCUACUGUGACAAUGCUCCGUGAGACAGUCUCAGUGUAUAUGUUCCUGUAUUGUUGUGUUUGGCAUGUUUGUUUCUAAGAAUUGAUAAUUACUAUUAACAGUUGAACAAACAAACUCUUCACCCAUUUAAUGAUAUGCAAGUAUUUAAUAUUCUAAAUAAUUAAGUGCUCCAUGUAUCAGUGGCUGAAAACAUUGGUAUAUUCAGUUCAUGCAGAAUUGUUUUACUUCAGAGUCUGAGGUAUGAAUAACCUUGUAUUUAGUUCAUCUAAUACCCUCUGCUGGACUCACUGGGUUUGCAGCCCACCUUCCUCAGCAGUGAUGCCAAAGACCACCACUGAAAUCACAAUUGAAUUUCUGUUAACAUUCAUGACCUUUUGUUGUGUAUUUGAUACAAUCCAUGCUUACACGAUUGUUAGUAACUUUAUAUAGGUGCUGUAUUAGUAAGGUUCAUGCUUCCUUCCACUAUCAUAAACUUACAUUUAUUUUUUAUAAAAAAGUAGGACAUUUUUACAGCACUUCUGUUUGCAUGAAGUCAACAGACGUUUGGAAUGGGCACAGAACGCAGGUUUGGGCUUUUGCUUUAGCAAACGUGAAUUACGCAGGUAUUUCCUGCAUAAGGAAUUACUCUUUUAGAAACACAGAGCUGUGUUUUGAGAGUUAGUGGGGUUUUCGUUACCAUGUUUUUUUGCUUUCUAAAUCAAAAAGGAUUUUUUUUUUUUUUCUUUUCUCACAGUUCAUUUAUUGCUCUGGGUUUUUACCCCCUGAAGUACAUCCCCACUAUUUUGAUUUCGAAUCUGCAAUCUUCCUAGGUUUAGAACGUCACUGAGCUCUUGCGAGGUGCCCUGGCCAGGGCAGCUUUGCAGAACUGGGCACUUUUAAGAGCUGAAGUAUUUUUAGUUGCAAAUAUUUAAAAAAUGCACUCUCAGCUGUUCACACAGCAGUGAUUGGACUGGUUAGAGUACUGAGAGUGGAGAAUGCUGAUACCUUCAUAUGUUUUAUGAGUGUACUGUAGCUGUGCUUCAGGCAGAAAUUCUUCAGAAGAAUGAGCAAAAGAAAAAACAGUGAGUGGAACUGCUUAAAUUAAAAAAAAAAAAA